UUGACACUAAGGGCGGAGUGACAUAAUUUCAGGAGUGAGGGUUAGGGAGAGGUUUCCCCCUCCCCCUGGUGUUCUUAGUAAGCCUGGAAGCUAAUCACUAAGAGUAUCACCAGUAUGAUGACGUGCUUCAUCAUGACCCUUUCCUUAUU
This 149-nucleotide small RNA is filed under the name Escherichia coli. Its description in RNAcentral is "Short Intergenic Abundant RNA". It matches the Rfam family "Short Intergenic Abundant RNA". Rfam says of the family: This family contains multiple ncRNA from E. coli that were identified in a large scale screen of E. coli, were they were called candidates 43,55 and 61. Lineage: Bacteria; Pseudomonadati; Pseudomonadota; Gammaproteobacteria; Enterobacterales; Enterobacteriaceae. The record is from RNAcentral.